Molecule: ribosomal RNA, 274 nt
Filed under: uncultured bacterium
Lineage: Bacteria
Description: partial 16S ribosomal RNA
Rfam family: Bacterial small subunit ribosomal RNA
Source: RNAcentral
AUACGGAGGGUGCAAGCGUUAAUCGGAAUUACUGGGCGUAAAGCGUACGUAGGCGGUUAUUUAAGUCAGAUGUGAAAGCCCCGGGCUUAACUUGGGAACUGCAUUUGAAACUGGGUAACUAGAGUUUAGUAGAGGGGGGUGGAAUUUCAGGUGUAGCGGUGAAAUGCGUAGAGAUCUGAAGGAACACCAGUGGCGAAGGCGACUCCCUGGACUAAAACUGACGCUGAGGUACGAAAGCGUGGGUAGCAAACAGGAUUAGAAACCCCAGUAGUCC